This 778-nucleotide ribosomal RNA is filed under the name uncultured Neocallimastigales. RNAcentral describes it as "partial large subunit ribosomal RNA". It matches the Rfam family "Eukaryotic large subunit ribosomal RNA", at positions 24 to 644 of the family's 3401-position model. Lineage: Eukaryota; Fungi; Neocallimastigomycota; Neocallimastigomycetes; Neocallimastigales. The record is from RNAcentral.
UAUCUCUGUAGAGUCUGCAUAUCAAUAAGCGGAGGAAAAGAAACUAACUAAGGAUUCCCUCAGUAACGGCGAGUGAAGCGGGAAGAGCUCAAAUUUGAAAUCUUCAAGGUUCUACCUUGACGAAUUGUAGUUUAAAGAAGUGUUUUCUGUUAGAUUUGAGUAGAAAAGUUCCUUGGAAUAGGGACAUCAUAGAGGGUGAGAAUCCCGUAUUUGAUCAUUAUUUCCAGCUUUGUGAUACACUUUCAAAGAGUCGGAUUGUUUGGGAAUGCAGUCCAAAACUGGGUGGUAAAUUUCAUCUAAAGCUAAAUAUUGGCGAGAGACCGAUAGCGAACAAGUACCGUGAGGGAAAGAUGAAAAGAACUUUGAAAAGAGAGUUAAACAGUACGUGAAAUUGUCAAAAGGGAAGCGUUUGACACCAGUGUUGUUUUUCCAAAGAUCAAUUACGAAUGGCUUGAUUUUGUGUUGUAUUGACCUUAUCAGCUUUCUUCACUUUUUUCGAGUCUUUCUUAAUGCACUUUUUGGUUAACAAGUCAACAUCAAUUUCUUUUGUUGUAAAAGAGUAUUCGGAAGGUGGCUUUCUUUUCGGAGAAAGUGUUUAUAGCCCUAUACUUCUACAAUCGGAGAGAUUGAGGUCUGCAGCGUAGAUCCUUCGGGGUUAGAUACACUUGUGCUAAGUUGUAGCUUUUCAUAGACAACUUGUUGACUAUGUUUAGUCAUGCGGCUUACUCGCUUGUGCUAUUUUACCUACGCUUAGGAUGUUGAACUACUGAGACAUAGA